Molecule: small RNA, 23 nt
Filed under: Arabidopsis thaliana (thale cress)
Lineage: Eukaryota; Viridiplantae; Streptophyta; Magnoliopsida; Brassicales; Brassicaceae
Description: ATSL210180
Source: RNAcentral
AUUAUACAGAAAUUUAAAUCAAU